GGAGUUGUCAAUAUAACAAGUGGAUAAAACAGCCUCUCCUCUCAAGAAGCUUAUAAACCAGUAGAGGAAAAAUAGCAGCUUCACUAUAUGUGGAAAUAGCAGCUUCACUCUUAGAGUCAAUUGUCAUAAUUCCCUAAACUAGAAAAGAAGAAGGCAAUGAUUCUUACAGGGGUAAUCUGUAAAGGCUUUAUCAGGAAAGAUUUUUGCUAGGCCCCGAAGGAUCGACACUGUUUCAGUAAGUGAAGAUAGAGGAGAGAGCACUCCAGGGAAAGGUGUUGCCAGGAGCAAAGCACCUGUCCGUGACCGUCUAUUGUUUGUGGAAACCCAGACACUGUGGGUCAAUGCUCCCUCUCAGGUUGUUUGCCAGCAGCUAAGGGAAGGUCUAGGUCCUUUCUUCCAGAGCUUCUGUUCAGAUUGUGAUGAAGGGAACCACUUUGGUGACUGAUGGGGCUUAAGAUCUCUCUGCAAGGCUACUUUCAAGUGAAUUUACAAACCAAGGGUGCAAAAUACAGCAGGCUACAGGAAGAAAGAAAGGCACUUUGGCUUCAGGAGAUGUACAGCAAUAGAACUGAGUCAACAGGAGUGAUCAUCAUCCAAGAGAUCAUCAUCUCUUCCUCAUCCUCCCCCUUUUUCUCCUUAUCCUCAUUCUCUUAUCUUCAUUAUCAUUAUGAUCACUGGCUCAUACUGAGAUGCAUGAAAAGGAGAGAAGGAAGGAAAGAAGGAAGGUGCAAGAGAGGAGAGUCUCCUGAAUUGUCCCUGGAUCUGAAUACCAUCCUAGGUGGGGGAUUUAGCCUUUUUCACCAUCCCUACCUCUAUACCUCUGGACUCUUGUUAAGAUCUGUCA
RNAcentral lists this long non-coding RNA (844 nucleotides) under Pan troglodytes (chimpanzee). Its description in RNAcentral is "long non-coding RNA NONPTRT003439". The record is from RNAcentral. Lineage: Eukaryota; Metazoa; Chordata; Mammalia; Primates; Hominidae.